UAUAUGAAGGUGUAUAUAGUUUAGCCUGCUCACUGAUUAUAUUAAAGAGCCGCAGUAUUUUGACUGUGCGAAGGUAGCAUAAUAAAUUGUCUUUUAAAUGAAGGCUUGAAUGAAAGGUUGGACAAAGUAUCAUCUGUUUCUUAAAUAUUUAUUGAAUUUGACUUUCAAGUGAAAAGGCUUGAAUAAAUUAAAAAGACGAUAAGACCCUAUAAAUCUUUACAAUAAGCAUGUUUUAUAUUUUAACUUAUAAGUGUAUAAGAUAUAAAAUUUGUAGUUGUUCCGCUGGGGCGGCGUAGAUAUAUAAAUAAACUGUCUAUACAUUAAAUCCAAUAAUUGUUGAUUAAUAAAAUUGAUCCUUAGAUAGAUUAAAAGAUUAAGAUACUUUAGGGAUAACAGCGUUAUUUUUUCUGAGAGUUCUUAUCGAAGAAAAAGUUUGCGACCUCGAUGUUGAAUUAAAGUAUCUCUAUGGUGCAGCCGUUAUAAGAGAGAGUCUGUUCGACUUUUAAUACUUUACGUGAUCU
Molecule: ribosomal RNA, 521 nt
Filed under: Pagurus pubescens
Lineage: Eukaryota; Metazoa; Arthropoda; Malacostraca; Decapoda; Paguridae
Description: partial 16S ribosomal RNA
Rfam family: Bacterial large subunit ribosomal RNA
Source: RNAcentral